Molecule: ribosomal RNA, 253 nt
Filed under: uncultured bacterium
Lineage: Bacteria
Description: partial 16S ribosomal RNA
Rfam family: Bacterial small subunit ribosomal RNA
Source: RNAcentral
UACGGAGGGUGCGAGCGUUAAUCGGAAUUACUGGGCGUAAAGGGUGCGUAGGUGGUUUGGUAAGUUAUCUGUGAAAUCCCUGGGCUUAACCUGGGCAGGUCAGAUAAUACUGCUGAACUCGAGUAUGGGAGAGGGUAGUGGAAUUUCCGGUGUAGCGGUGAAAUGCGUAGAGAUCGGAAGGAACACCAGUGGCGAAGGCGGCUACCUGGCCUAAUACUGACACUGAGGCACGAAAGCGUGGGGAGCAAACAGG